Xyrichtys novacula (pearly razorfish) is the source of this 883-nucleotide non-coding RNA. The record is from the annotation of a GenBank genome assembly. Lineage: Eukaryota; Metazoa; Chordata; Actinopteri; Labriformes; Labridae.
GUCGGGGGGGGCGGGGGGUCUGCUCCGCCUCCUUCUUCGUCUCCUCGCUCCUCUUCCUCCUGCAGUCAGAUCCAAGUUCUACAGAGUCCUGGUCCACAUCUCUGUGGAAACACAGGUAAUCAUGUGACCCUCAGUCAGCUGAUGAAAACAGGUGAUCAACUCAAUAUGGACUACAAGUCCGUUCAUAGAAACUCUUAUGACUACAGCGGGGUGACGCAGCUCAAGGAAGAACAUUUAUGAUCAUUUCUUCAUGGAAAUACAAUCAGACCAAGGCAGUAAGACAGAAGAACUACCGCAUCUGCAGUUCAAAAUGAUUAAUAUGAUGAUUAUUACUUCAAGGAAAUGAUAAAGAAAUUAUCAUAAAUGUUCUUCCUUGAGCUGCGUCACCCCACUGUAGUCCGUAAUGGACUGGCCUGAGGUCUCGCUACAAACAAGCGGCUGCUGGAAGAAAGUAGGUGAGUUGUGUUUAGUCUCUUUGCUAAAGAAAUUAGUCAAAGUUAAAAAGAUGUUUGGUGGCUAGUACUAUGGCUGGGACCCUAUUUGUACUAACCUCAGUAGAUCAUGGUGUAGUUCCGUUCAGUAACAGAACCUCAUUGGAAAAUUAGCUGAUUUAACUUUACUGUGCUCUUGUUCAACUAUAUUAACUUGACAGCACAUAUAUCCAUACAUGUUAACAAAAUCAUGAUUUUGUUAAUAAUUCUGCUUAAUAAAAACACCUUUACCUCCGCUUAAGUUUAUAUUUUCGUAGGAGUUAGAACAACUCUGAAUAUAGUACUACGGCUGGGACCCUACAUGUACUGUUGAUGAAGUUAGGUGCUGUUCUGAGCAUUAUGUGUGGCUAUAAAGUGCUAUUUUGGUUGAGGUUUGUUUAUGGCUCCUCAGG